GGCCUCCUGUAUCCGUACUGAAAUUUCGUCAAACACCGGACAACACGAUUUGACUAGACUCCCAAGAUAAGUGAAGCG
This 78-nucleotide microRNA precursor is filed under the name Schistosoma margrebowiei. RNAcentral's name for it is "mir-3492 microRNA precursor family". It matches the Rfam family "mir-3492 microRNA precursor family". The record is from Rfam by way of RNAcentral. Lineage: Eukaryota; Metazoa; Platyhelminthes; Trematoda; Strigeidida; Schistosomatidae.